AUUGCGCCUUUUUUUUUAAUCGAGUUGUACUAGAGAAUAGAUAUAAUCGGAAAAGAGAUAUUAAUUUAAAGGAAAAUAUUAUGAAGUCCAUAUUUUUCUUGCAUUAUAGAUUUAUUUUUAUUUUGUUUGUUCAUUGCUUUUUUUUUUUAAUACUUUGCGCUAAUAGACCUGCCUAAGUAUGUGGAGUUCUGAAAGACUUUCUGAUUUCUAUAAUCUUAUGUUAAGUUGCAUUGUGCUUGAGGAAUGUGUUUUAUAUCUCUCGGCAUUGAAAACAUUUUUACUACAAAUGAAGAGUGUGUUCUAUUCAAAUUUAAACUUUAGUAGAAGUCUAUUAAUUCACUGACUUUUAUAUAAAUCUGAUAUAACGAGCAGCCUAAUGACUUGAGUUAUCCCCUGAUGGAGUAAUAUUGUUUCAGAUACAUUGCAGCAAGCUGCUUCUCUAUUUUUUUAGUACCGUCACAUGGACGUGUCUGAUACUGAAUAAUCUUAGUUGAAGCACUAGAUUUUUCUUGCUAAAAAUGCAGGGAAUCAACUACUGCUUGUUGAAGAAUGAGUAACUCUUGAUAAGGUACCACUAAUUUUACUAUAUAUGUACUUUAUCAAAAAAAAAAUUAAUAUAUAUGUAAUGCCUAUAUAAAAUUUUAUUUAGUUUGAAGUUCAGUCCCUUGGAAAAUUAGUUUUUGUAUUGCACCUUUUUUUUUAAUCGAGUUGUAUUAAAGAAUAGAUAUAAUCAGAAAAGAGAUAUUAAUUUAAAGGAAAAUAUUAUGAAGUCCAUAUUUUUCUUGCAUUAUAGAUUUAUUUUUAUUUUGUUUGUUCAUUGCUUUUUUUUUGUUUAAUAAAGCCCACACUUUUAUUGUACUUUGCACUAAUAGACCUGCCUAAGUAGUGGAGUUCUGAAAGACUUUCCGAUUUCUAUAAUCUUAUGUUAAAUUGCAUUGUGCUUGAGGAAUGUGUUUUAUAUCUCUCGGCAUUGAAAACAUUUUUACUACAAAUGAAGAGUGUUUUCUACUCAAAUUUAAACUUUAGUAGAAGUCUAUUAAUUCACUAACUUUUAUAUAAACCUGAUAUAAAGAGCAGCCUAAUGACUUGAGUUAUCCCUUGAUGGAGUAAUAUUGUUUCAGAUACAUUGCAGCAAGCUGCUUCUCUAUUUUUUUAGUACCGUCACAUGGACGUGUCUGAUACUGAAUAAUCUUAGUUGAAGCACUAGAUUUUUCUUGCUAAAAAUGCAGGGAAUCACUGCUUGUUGAAGAAUGAGCAACUCUUGAUAA
Molecule: long non-coding RNA, 1268 nt
Filed under: Nicotiana tabacum (common tobacco)
Lineage: Eukaryota; Viridiplantae; Streptophyta; Magnoliopsida; Solanales; Solanaceae
Description: long non-coding RNA (NTAB_LNC002235)
Source: RNAcentral